RNAcentral lists this ribosomal RNA (476 nucleotides) under uncultured bacterium. Its description in RNAcentral is "bacterial SSU rRNA". It matches the Rfam family "Bacterial small subunit ribosomal RNA", at positions 37 to 507 of the family's 1533-position model. The record is from RNAcentral.
UGGCGGCAUGCUUUACACAUGCAAGUCGAACGGCAGCACGGGUGCUUGCACCUGGUGGCGAGUGGCGGACGGUGAGUAAUGCAUCGGAACGUGUCCUGAAGUGGGGGAUAACGCAUCGAAAGAUGUGCUAAUACCGCAUAUUCUCUGAGGAGGAAAGUAGGGGAUCGAAAGACCUUAUGCUUUUGGAGCGGCCGAUGUCUGAUUAGCUAGUUGGUAGGGUAAUGGCUUACCAAGGCGACGAUCAGUAGUUGGUCUGAGAGGACGACCAGCCACACUGGGACUGAGACACGGCCCAGACUCCUACGGGAGGCAGCAGUGGGGAAUUUUGGACAAUGGGCGCAAGCCUGAUCCAGCAAUGCCGCGUGAGUGAAGAAGGCCUUCGGGUUGUAAAGCUCUUUCAGUUGAGAAGAAAAAGUCGUGACUAAUAAUCAUGAUUCAUGACGGUAUCAACAGAAGAAGCACCGGCUAACUACGUG